CGAGCGACCAACCCCUAUCUUUAGUUGCCAUCAGUUCGGCUGGGCACUCUAUGGAGACUGCCGGUGUUAAACCGGAGGAAGGUGGGGAUGACGUCAAGUCCUCAUGGCCUUUAUGACCAGGGCUACACACGUACUACAAUGGCCGGUACAACGGGCAGCGAAGGAGCGAUCCGGAGCGAAUCCUAAAAAGCCGGUCCCAGUUCGGAUUGCAGGCUGAAACUCGCCUACAUGAAGUUGGAGUUGCUAGUAAUCGCGAAUCAGAAUGUCGCGGUGAAUGCGUUCCCGGGCCUU
Molecule: ribosomal RNA, 291 nt
Filed under: uncultured Fusibacter sp.
Lineage: Bacteria; Bacillati; Bacillota; Clostridia; Eubacteriales; Fusibacteraceae
Description: partial 16S ribosomal RNA
Rfam family: Bacterial small subunit ribosomal RNA
Source: RNAcentral